GUAGGUGUACCCAAGUGGUGAAGGGGGCAGUUUGCUAAACUGCUAGGUCGAGUAAUCGGCGCGGAGGUUCGAACCCUCUCACCUACG
Molecule: non-coding RNA, 87 nt
Organism: Clostridium sp. 27_14
Lineage: Bacteria; Bacillati; Bacillota; Clostridia; Eubacteriales; Clostridiaceae
Source: Rfam